GUCUACGGCCAUGCUACCCUGAACACGCUCGAUCCCGUCUAUUCUUGGAAGCUAAGCAGAAUCGGGACUGGUUAGUUAGUACUUUGAUGGGAGACCACCUAGGAAGACCAGGUGCUAUAGGCA
Pteropus vampyrus (large flying fox) is the source of this 123-nucleotide ribosomal RNA. NCBI's taxonomy places the organism in Eukaryota, Metazoa, Chordata, Mammalia, Chiroptera, Pteropodidae. The record is from Ensembl.